GACGAACGCUGGCGGCGUGCUUAACACAUGCAAGUCGAACGGAAAGACCCUGAUUUUGUGCUGUUCCCGAGUGGCGAACGCGUGAGUAUCACGAGUGUAUCCUACCCUUCUCUUUGGGGUAACAUCAGGAAACUGGGGCUAAUAUAGGACAGGAUAUCCUGCACCAUGGUGAGCAUUGGAAAGUUGCGGCGUGUGGGGCUGGAUUGGCGGCUUAUCAGCUUGUUAGUGGGGUAGUGGCUUACCAAGCGUGUGACGGGUAGCCAGCCUGAGAGGGUGACCGGGCACAUGAGGACUGAGGUACGGAGCAGACUGCAAUGGGAGGCAGCAGGGGGGAGUAUUGCCCAGUGGUCGGGAGCCUGAGGCAGCAGCGCUGCGUUCGGGAAGACGGCCUUCGGGUUGAAAACAGCUGUCGCCUGAGACGAAGCGUUAGUGACGGUAAUGAGUAAAGAAGCACCGGCUAACUACGUG
This 468-nucleotide ribosomal RNA is filed under the name uncultured bacterium. Its description in RNAcentral is "partial 16S ribosomal RNA". It matches the Rfam family "Bacterial small subunit ribosomal RNA", at positions 28 to 507 of the family's 1533-position model. The record is from RNAcentral.